Molecule: long non-coding RNA, 1369 nt
Filed under: Eucalyptus grandis
Lineage: Eukaryota; Viridiplantae; Streptophyta; Magnoliopsida; Myrtales; Myrtaceae
Description: long non-coding RNA (EGRA_LNC001953)
Source: RNAcentral
CCUUGAAGACCUGAGCCGCUGCUCCGACGAAGCCUUGGCCGCGAGAACGACGCGCUCGCCACUCUUCACAUACUCGGACGACGCUAGCCUCUGGGAUUCUUCUUGAACCGCAAGCUGGUAUAUGCGGCCGAGCGGCGGGACCGGAUCCAUGGCCAAGAUCUGGCUCCGAAACGGUAAGUAGGUUUCAUUUAACACGAGUAGGAACCGUGUAACCUUCUCCCGAUCUCUCAUGGCCCGGUAUUGAGCCAAGGUCGCCUCGGGUCCCUCUAAUUUCUCCUCUGUCAUGUCGAUUUCAUUCCAUAGGGCAGAGAGUUUGUUGUAGAUUGCUGAGAUCGACAAAUUUCCUUGCUUGAGGUCUGAUAAUGCCUGCAUUAGGGUGAAAAUUUUUGCUCUAUCGAGCUUGCCAUACAUUUCCCUUAAAUUCUCCCAAAAUUUGUUUGCAUCUUCAGUCGGUGGUGCUCCGGCCACAACCUCCGCCGUGAGAUAAUUUCCAACCCAGGUCCAGACAAGUUGGUUGCACUUGCGCCAUUGUCGUGCAAGCCGCUCAUCGGACGGUAUCAGGACGGUGCCGUCCAAAAAGCCGUCUUUAUCUUUGGUCACAAGCGCUCGCCGGAGCUCGCGAGACCACAAAGAGUAGUUCUCCGGCCCUGACUGUCGCUGGGAGAUCAGGCGCAGCUCCGGUCCGUCGGUGGUCGUGGUGUACAAUGGGUCUCCAGGUUCCAGUCGACCGCCGAGACCUGCAAAAGGAAAAAAACCGGGUCCGUAGGUCGGGUAAGGAUUGUUCGCCCCAUACCCAGGACCCGAACCACUCUGACCCGGGAAGGACCAGUUCGCCCCGUAUCCAGGACCCGCUUCAGGUAUGUGCGAUGAGCUUUCCUCUAGCCCACCGAUCCUUCCGGGGUUGAUUUGAGGUGAAUUCUGUGUUGAACCUCCUUGAUUUGGUUGGAUUGAUACAGGUACCCACUGAACUUAUGGUCCUGUGGGGGGAUUUCCAGGAUUGAAUCCUGUGUUGAGCUGUGCAGUCUGCACGAGGCUUGUUUGACUUUCUGAUGGAUUUAUCUGUCGUUCUGCAGGGAUGACUUGUGGAUUUCCCUCAAUCCCCACAGAAACGCCGGAAGUUGAAUCUUCAGUAUUUGACAUGAUUUCUCCCUAAGAAGGCGUUGCGGAAGCUAGGCCAAGGUGGGAGGCUCUGAUACCAUGUCAGAAAAGUAGAAAGCUUGGGAUUUGGGAGAAUUGUAUAUUGCUUUUCUAUAUUCCUUUCAAUAUGUAAUUACAAUCUAUUUAUAAUACAGAGAGUCUAAAAUAAUAAAGGAAUAAAAAUAUAGACAAUAUCCCAAAGAUGUACAUAAAAUAUUCCCUAUAAUCAAAG